This 671-nucleotide ribosomal RNA is filed under the name uncultured archaeon. RNAcentral's name for it is "bacterial SSU rRNA". It matches the Rfam family "Archaeal small subunit ribosomal RNA", at positions 99 to 754 of the family's 1478-position model. The record is from RNAcentral.
CGUGGCUAACCUGCCCUUGGGACGGGGACACCCCCGGGAAACUGGGGCUAAUCCCCGAUAGGUGAAGAUUCCUGGAAUGGGUUUUUGCCGAAAAGACGUUUAGGGCAUGCUUCUAGGCGUUGCCCAAGGAUGGGGCCGCGGCCGAUCAGGUUGUUGGUGAGGUAAUGGCUCACCAAGCCUUUAACCGGUUCGGGCCGUGGGAGCGGUAGCCCGGAGAUGGGCACUGAGACAAGGGCCCAGGCCCUACGGGGCGCAGCAGUCGCGAAAACUUCGCAAUAAGCGAAAGCUUGACGGGGCCAUCCCGAGUGCCAUCUGCUGAGGAUGGCUUUUACCCAGUGUAGAUAGCUGGGGGAAUAAGGAGAGGGCAAGUCUGGUGUCAGCCGCCGCGGUAAUACCAGCUCUCCGAGUUGUGGGGACGUUUAUUGAGCCUAAAGCAUCCGUAGCCGGCUGGGCAAGUCCUCUGUUAAAUCCAGCGACAAAUCGUUGGCCUGCGGGGGAUACUGCUCGGCUAGGGGGCGGGAGAGGCCGUCGGUAUUCUUGGGGUAGGGGUGAAAUCCUAUAAUCCCAGGAGGACCACCAGUGGCGAAGGCUGUCGGCUAGAACGCGCCCGACGGUGAGGGAUGAAAGCUGGGGGAGCGAACCGGAUUAGAUACCCGGGUAGUCCCAGCUGU